This 497-nucleotide ribosomal RNA is filed under the name uncultured bacterium. RNAcentral's name for it is "partial 16S ribosomal RNA". It matches the Rfam family "Bacterial small subunit ribosomal RNA", at positions 28 to 507 of the family's 1533-position model. The record is from RNAcentral.
GAUGAACGCCGGCGGCGUGCCUAAUACAUGCAAGUCGAGCGAACGGACGAGAAGCUUGCUUCUCUGACGUUAGCGGCGGACGGGUGAGUAACACGUGGAUAACCUACCUAUAAGACUGGGAUAACUUCGGGAAACCGUAGCUAAUACCGGAUAAUAUUUUGAACCGCAUGGUUCAAUAGUGAAAGACGGUCUUGCUGUCACUUAUAGAUGGAUCCGCGCUGCAUUAGCUAGUUGGUAAGGUAACGGCUUACCAAGGCAACGAUGCAUAGCCGACCUGAGAGGGUGAUCGGCCACACUGGAACUGAGACACGGUCCAGACUCCUACGGGAGGCAGCAGUAGGGAAUCUUCCGCAAUGGGCGAAAGCCUGACGGAGCAACGCCGCGUGAGUGAUGAAGGUCUUCGGAUCGUAAAACUCUGUUAUUAGGGAAGAACAAAUGUGUAAGUAACUGUGCACGUCUUGACGGUACCUAAUCAGAAAGCCACGGCUAACUACGUG